GACGAACGCUGGCGGCGUGCCUAAUACAUGCAAGUUGAGCGCUGAAGGUUGGUACUUGUACCAACUGGAUGAGCAGCGAACGGGUGAGUAACGCGUGGGGAAUCUGCCUUUGAGCGGGGGACAACAUUUGGAAACGAAUGCUAAUACCGCAUAAAAACUUUAAACACAAGUUUUAAGUUUGAAAGAUGCAACUGCAUCACUCAAAGAUGAUCCCGCGUUGUAUUAGCUAGUUGGUGAGGUAAAGGCUCACCAAGGCGAUGAUACAUAGCCGACCUGAGAGGGUGAUCGGCCACAGUGGGACUGAGACACGGCCCAAACUCCUACGGGAGGCAGCAGUAGGGAAUCUUCGGCAAUGGACGAAAGUCUGACCGAGCAACGCCGCGCGAGUGAAGAAGGUUUUCGGAUCGUAAAACUCUGUUGGUAGAGAAGAACGUUGGUGAGAGUGGAAAGCUCAUCAAGUGACGGUAACUACCCAGAAAGGGACGGCUAACUACGUG
This 497-nucleotide ribosomal RNA is filed under the name uncultured bacterium. RNAcentral's name for it is "partial 16S ribosomal RNA". It matches the Rfam family "Bacterial small subunit ribosomal RNA", at positions 28 to 507 of the family's 1533-position model. The record is from RNAcentral.